This is a long non-coding RNA of Schistocerca gregaria, 1392 nucleotides long. RefSeq lists it as uncharacterized. The record is from RefSeq and is a predicted model, not a curated record. Lineage: Eukaryota; Metazoa; Arthropoda; Insecta; Orthoptera; Acrididae. The transcript is spliced from 6 exons.
AUUGGGGAUAUUCCUUGCAGACUUGAACGCAAAAAAAUACAAGCUCGAUAACGUACAGAUUCGUUGUUCCAAGAGUGAGGAUUUUAGAUAACUCAACGCAUCAACAGCUUUAUCGAGGCAAAAAGGAUGGCAUCUUGCGUGUCCAACGCUGGGUAUUAUUUAGAUAAAGAAACAGAUGAAUCAGGUAGGUUGACGCUUUUCAUCGUGCAUUUAGGCUAUCUACUGGGCUGAUGUUUGUAAAGAUGUAUCCCUCAGGAAAAAUACAAAGAUCAAACAAAAAAAAAUUGUACAGACAUAUGAGGCAAAAAACGACAUGAAGCCUGCUAGCGAAUCAGAUCAUUCUCUGAAUGCCUCUGCAACAGAAUCUCCAGAAAAAAUGAACAACGCCAAUAGUCAUGUUUCGGAAAUUAGUCAUUCGGACACUUUACCGCCUGGACUUCCAGAAGUAGUAGAGUCUAGAUUUCAGGCGCUAGAAAGGCAUUUUUAUUCGAACAUAUCUGUCCGAUCCGUACCUAGAGAUGUCUAUACGCGUUUGAAGCGUCUAGAAGACAGAGCACUUGCUCUGGAAAGGAGGGGUAUCUGGCCGCCUAAAAGCAAUGAUUUUUCCAACGAUCUAGAGCCUCUCAAAGACAGAAAGGAGUCACUGGACGAUCGCAUAAGACAACUUCAAGACCUUUUACCCCGUCAGAUUGCGAAGACGCCCUCAGAGAAAAUCACAGGCACUGAUCAAUACCGCUAGAUUCUGGUUCUAUUUUUGCUACAUUUAUGUCGUGCUGCAUAACGUAUGGAACGAACACGUACGUUUCUUUUUUUUGAAUGACAAAGGAGGCGUCUGUGUUGCUUUUACUCAUGGAGGUGGCGAGGACUUCUACUUUCUAAUCCCCUGCUCUCUAUAUCUAUCAGAAAGAGCUACCAAAAAAUGUUUUUCAAACAGGAUAGAAGGAGUGUGAAAACAGCCUGCAAGUGCACCUUGUAACGCAUUUUUUUCGAACAACACAAUUAUGCAAUCCAAUUGUACCAUCACAAUAUAGGAAUUUAUCAAAAUGAAAAAAGUAGCGCCGCCAACGAACAAGUGUGGGUUGUUAGUGCCGCUUUCAAACAGUCUCAGUCGCGCAUACGUUGAGUGAAGACAGAGCACCACUAGAGAACUCCAGAAAGGAGUGAUCGAGAUCGCACUACGGUAAUGUGUUGUACUGUGCAUGGAUACGUGGUAUACAUUUCUGCAAGACUGAUUUUUCAGUUGGGCUAUUCGUGCUCAGACGGUUGAUAUAAUCGAUACGAUCCACAUUUGAAAGGCGUGAAUGAAAGGAUGAUGCAAAUCAAAAAUAAUAACUGGCUAAUGUGUUCUACUCUACUAUGAGGCGAACCGCAUUUAUACGGGUGCAUUUUUUU